This 723-nucleotide ribosomal RNA is filed under the name uncultured bacterium. RNAcentral describes it as "bacterial SSU rRNA". It matches the Rfam family "Bacterial small subunit ribosomal RNA", at positions 40 to 773 of the family's 1533-position model. The record is from RNAcentral.
CGGCGUGCUUAACACAUGCAAGUCGAGCGAAGCAUACUGAAUAGCUUGCUAUUUUGUAUGACUGAGCGGCGAACGGGUGAGUAACACGUGGGUGAUCUACCUGGAAGACUGGGAUAACAGUUGGAAACGGCUGCUAAUACCGGAUGACAUCUAUUAAUCGGAUAAUAGAUCAAAGAUUAUAUUGCUUUCAGAUGAGCCCGCGUUCCAUUAGUUAGUUGGUGGGGUAAUGGCCUACCAAGGCGACGAUGGGUAGCCGGUCUGAGAGGAUGGUCGGCCACACUGGGACUGAGACACGGCCCAGACUCCUACGGGAGGCAGCAGCAAGGAAUCUUGGGCAAUGGGCGGAAGCUUGACCCAGCGACACCGCGUGAGGGAUGAAGGCCUUCGGGUUGUAAACCUCUUUUCUUGGGGAAGAAUUAUGACGGUACCCAAGGAAUAAGCCUCGGCCAACUACGUGCCAGCAGCCGCGGUAAUACGUAGGAGGCGAACGUUAUUCGGAUUUACUGGGCGUAAAGGGAGCGUAGGCGGCUCGUUAAGUCAUGCGUAAAAUCUUCCGACUUAAUCGGAAGGGGCCGUGUGAUACUGGCGGGCUUGAGAGCAACAGAGGGAAAUGGAAUCCCCAGUGUAGCGGUGAAAUGCGUAGAUAUUGGGGAGAACACCAGUGGCGAAGGCGAUUUUCCAGGUUGUUUCUGACGCUGAGGCUCGAAAGCGUGGGGAGCGAAG